AGGUGCGAUCAUACCAGCACUAAUGCACUAGAUCCCAUCAGAACUCCGCAGUGAAGCGUGCUUGGGCGAGAGUAGUACUAGGAUCGGUGACCUCCUGGGAAGUCUUCUUGUUGCACCUC
Molecule: ribosomal RNA, 119 nt
Filed under: Vigna angularis (adzuki bean)
Lineage: Eukaryota; Viridiplantae; Streptophyta; Magnoliopsida; Fabales; Fabaceae
Source: RNAcentral